Molecule: ribosomal RNA, 234 nt
Filed under: uncultured Eubacteriales bacterium
Lineage: Bacteria; Bacillati; Bacillota; Clostridia; Eubacteriales
Description: uncultured Clostridiales bacterium partial 16S ribosomal RNA
Rfam family: Bacterial small subunit ribosomal RNA
Source: RNAcentral
GGACGGGUGAGUAACACGUGAGUAACCUGCCUUAGACAUUGGGAUAGCCUCGGGAAACCGGGAUUAAUACCAAAUAGAAUCAUAAUGACACAUGUCAUAACGAUCAAAACUCCGGUGGUCUAAGAUGGACUCGCGUCCCAUUAGCUAGUUGGUAGAGUAAAAGCCUACCAAGGCGACGAUGGGUAGCCGGCCUGAGAGGGUGAACGGCCACAUUGGAACUGAGAAACGGUCCAA